AGUGAACGCUGGCGGUAGGCCUAACACAUGCAAGUCGAACGGCAGCACAGUAAGAGCUUGCUCUUACGGGUGGCGAGUGGCGGACGGGUGAGGAAUACAUCGGAAUCUACUUUUUCGUGGGGGAUAACGUAGGGAAACUUACGCUAAUACCGCAUACGACCUACGGGUGAAAGCAGGGGAUCUUCGGACCUUGCGCGAUUGAAUGAGCCGAUGUCGGAUUAGCUAGUUGGCGGGGUAAAGGCCCACCAAGGCGACGAUCCGUAGCUGGUCUGAGAGGAUGAUCAGCCACACUGGAACUGAGACACGGUCCAGACUCCUACGGGAGGCAGCAGUGGGGAAUAUUGGGCAAUGGGCGCAAGCCUGAUCCAGCCAUGCCGCGUGGGUGAAGAAGGCCUUCGGGUUGUAAAGCCCUUUUGUUAGGAAAGAAAAGCAGCAGGUUAAUACCCCGCUGUUCUGACGGUACCCAAAGAAUAAGCACCGGCUAACUUCGUG
Molecule: ribosomal RNA, 492 nt
Filed under: uncultured bacterium
Lineage: Bacteria
Description: partial 16S ribosomal RNA
Rfam family: Bacterial small subunit ribosomal RNA
Source: RNAcentral